GGAAACUCUGGUGGAGGCCCGUUUGGAUUCUGACGUGCAAAUCGAUCCUCACAGCUGGGUAUAUGGGCGAAAGACUAAUCGAACCAUCUAGUAGCUGGUUCCCCCCGAAGUUUCCCUCAGGAUAGCUGGUGCUCGUUUCAAGAUGAACAAGUUUCAUCCGGUAAAGCGAAUGAUUAGAGGCCUUGGGGGCGAAAUGACCUCAACCUAUUCUCAAACUUUAAAUGGGUGAGAAGCCCGGCUUCCUUGAAUGAAGCCUCGGCAUUCGAAUUGAUAGAGCACCCAGUGGGCCACUUUUGGUAAGCAGAACUGGCGCUGGGGGAUGAACCAAACGUUGAGUUACGGUGCCCGAAUGAACGCAAAUUUGACCCCAUGAAGGGUGUCGGUUGCUCCAGAACAGCAGGACGGUGGCCAUGGAAGUCGAAUCCGCUAAGGAGUGUGUAACAACUCACCUGCCGAAGCAACCAGCCCUGAAAAUGGAUGGCGCUCUAGCGUUUUGCCUAUACCCAACCGCUGGAACAGAGCUGGUAUGAGCCCUUAAGUUCCAGUGAGUAGGGGGGUGUAGUGGUGUGCUUUGAAGGGUCUGGGUGUGAGCCUGCCUGGAGCCGCCCAUCGC
RNAcentral lists this ribosomal RNA (613 nucleotides) under Neonesidea haikangensis. Its description in RNAcentral is "eukaryotic LSU rRNA". It matches the Rfam family "Eukaryotic large subunit ribosomal RNA", at positions 857 to 1443 of the family's 3401-position model. Lineage: Eukaryota; Metazoa; Arthropoda; Ostracoda; Podocopida; Bairdiidae. The record is from RNAcentral.